GAUGGACCCGCGUUGGAUUAGCUUGUUGGUGGGGUAACGGCCCACCAAGGCGACGAUCCAUAGCCGGCCUGAGAGGGUGAACGGCCACAUUGGGACUGAGACACGGCCCAGACUCCUACGGGAGGCAGCAGUGGGGAAUAUUGCACAAUGGGGGAAACCCUGAUGGUGCGACGCCGCGUGGGGGAAUGAAGGUCUUCGGAUUGUAAACCCCUGUCAUGUGGGAGCAAAUUAAAAAGAUAGUACCACAAGAGGAAGAGACGGCUAACUCUGUGCCAGCAGCCGCGGUAAUACAGAGGUCUCAAGCGUUGUUCGGAAUCACUGGGCGUAAAGCGUGCGUAGGCGGUUUCGUAAGUCGUGUGUGAAAGGCGGGGGCUCAACCCCCGGACUGCACAUGAUACUGCGAGACUAGAGUAAUGGAGGGGGAACCGGAAUUCUCGGUGUAGCAGUGAAAUGCGUAGAUAUCGAGAGGAACACUCGUGGCGAAGGCGGGUUCCUGGACAUUAACUGACGCUGAGGCACGAAGGCCAGGGGAGCGAAAGGGAUUAGAUACCCCUGUAGUCCUGGCAGUAAACGGUGCACGCUUGGUGUGCGGGGAAUCGACCCCCUGCGUGCCGGAGCUAACGCGUUAAGCGUGCCGCCUGGGGAGUACGGUCGCAAGAUUAAAACUCAAAGAAAUUGACGGGGACCCGCACAAGCGGUGGAGUAUGUGGCUUAAUUCGAUGCAACGCGAAGAACCUUACCUGGGCUUGACAUGUAAUGAACAACAUGUGAAAGCAUGCGACUCUUCGGAGGCGUUACACAGGUGCUGCAUGGCCGUCGUCAGCUCGUGUCGUGAGAUGUUUGGUUAAGUCCAGCAACGAGCGCAACCCCUGUUGCCAGUUACCAGCACGUAAAGGUGGGGACUCUGGCGAGACUGCCCAGAUCAACUGGGAGGAAGGUGGGGACGACGUCAGGUCAGUAUGGCCCUUAUGCCCAGGGCUGCACACGUACUACAAUGCCCAGUACAGAGGGGGCCGAAGCCGCGAGGCGGAGGAAAUCCUAAAAACUGGGCCCAGUUCGGACUGUAGGCUGCAACCCGCCUACACGAAGCCGGAAUCGCUAGUAAUGGCGCAUCAGCUACGGCGCCGUGAAUACGUUCCCGGGUCUUGCACACACCGCCCGUCA
This 1164-nucleotide ribosomal RNA is filed under the name uncultured bacterium. RNAcentral's name for it is "bacterial SSU rRNA". It matches the Rfam family "Bacterial small subunit ribosomal RNA", at positions 224 to 1399 of the family's 1533-position model. The record is from RNAcentral.